UACGGAGGGUGCAAGCGUUAUCCGGAUUCACUGGGUUUAAAGGGAGCGUAGGUGGGUCUGUAAGUCAGUGGUGAAAUCUCCGGGCUUAACCUGGAAACUGCCAUUGAUACUAUAGGUCUUGAAUAUUGUGGAGGUUAGCGGAAUAUGUCAUGUAGCGGUGAAAUGCUUAGAUAUGACAUAGAACACCAAUUGCGAAGGCAGCUGGCUACGCAUAUAUUGACACUGAGGCACGAAAGCGUGGGGAGCAAACAGG
This 253-nucleotide ribosomal RNA is filed under the name uncultured bacterium. RNAcentral's name for it is "partial 16S ribosomal RNA". It matches the Rfam family "Bacterial small subunit ribosomal RNA", at positions 524 to 776 of the family's 1533-position model. The record is from RNAcentral.